This is a non-coding RNA of Schizosaccharomyces pombe (fission yeast), 1114 nucleotides long. The record is from the annotation of a GenBank genome assembly. Lineage: Eukaryota; Fungi; Ascomycota; Schizosaccharomycetes; Schizosaccharomycetales; Schizosaccharomycetaceae.
AUUGUAUGAAGUCCCUGAUAGUUGUCCAGAUCCUCUGAUUUAUUUUCGCAAAGAACAAUUGGAACCUCAAUUAUAUUAGUAAAACAAGCUAAAUCGAAUGUGAUUAACUUACAUUGACUCCAAGAGAUCGAAAGUAUGGCAACCAAAAGAUACUAACUCGUUCAUAAGAAUAGUUAUCAGAAUAGACUAAGCAAAUCACAUUUGCCUUUUUUAUUUCUGCUGCUAAAUAUUCUCUUUCAUUGCUAUCCGCUACACGUCGUCAUAUUAGCUUUGAAAAAAUAUCCACAAAAAGUUAAACUAAGAAUUCUCACAUUGCGUGUCUACGAGAACAAGAGAAACAUCGUCAUUUGAAUCCGGAUUAGAGGGUAUGGAUAUAAUCGGAAAUACCUAGCGCAUUAGAACAAUAAAUUAUACUAUGAGAGCAAGCUACCUUAGGAAUGCUCGUCACAUUGUCUUCUUGAAUCAAAGCCGAAAUUAAAGAAGAUUUUCCUACGCCUUGGUCACCGCAAAUUACUACUCUAACUUCUUUCAUUGUAAAAUGAAUGGCUUCAACUCACUAAGGAUCAUUUCAGCGUGGUAGGGUGAAACACAAUUCCAGAGUUGGUCGAAAAUAUGUACAGCGUCGAAAAGUACUUGACGUUUGCAAAAACUAAAAAAAAAAGCAAACCGAAAACUUUAGGUAAUAAAAAAUUAUUUUAUUAUAGAAAUAUGGGUGAUGUUCGCUUUCCUCACACACAGCGUUGUUUUAACCAUUAAAAUGAUUUUGGGCUGCCAAGGGAACAACAACUAUUACUAUAAGUACAAAGAAAUUUAAUUAGUAGAAGCACAAUUGAAAUAUCUUGAAAUAUUGAGAAUACAUGCAUCUUUUUUUAAACGCAUUUCUAAAACCGCGUCGCCACUAGAAAGACCCCAUAAUAACAGGAUUCUGUUAUUUUAUUAAAUGAUAGAAUUGAUUAUAACUGUUGUUUCUGUUUACAGAGUACUCUCCGUAGUAUCUUUCAUCGAUUUUACGUUGUAAAAGUGCCCACAGCUGCUCUAAUAAAAAAGUUGCAACUAUGAAAUUAGGACUGACAAGUUAAAUGCGAAUAACUUAUUAAUUAAUUCAUGAAAGCAC